This is a long non-coding RNA of Anas platyrhynchos (mallard), 2375 nucleotides long. RefSeq lists it as uncharacterized. Lineage: Eukaryota; Metazoa; Chordata; Aves; Anseriformes; Anatidae. The record is from RefSeq and is a predicted model, not a curated record.
ACUUCACUUACUUCCAGGCUUCCUGGAAUAUUACAUUGCCUGGUGCUACUCUCUGAUCAUGACAUAAUCCUUAACUAUUGUUUUUCUUUCACAAAUUAAUUCUGUGAGUUGCCUGCAGACAAAGCCAGUAACGCUUGAUCACUAAGGACAACAAUCUGAAACAGUUUGGAAAUGCCUAUCUCAACGUUCAUGCUGAUCUAGUGAAUCCUCUGAGAAAAUAAGUACUCAAUCACACCUCACAAAAGAGAGGAAUCAAGGCAGCAUUUCAGAGAAUUCAGCCGGACUAUCGGAUACCAGCGCACAGCCUUGUCUUACACAACAGACCUGAAACCCAUGUUAUCUUCAUCCUGUGGGAGUCCUUGAACCCUUUAAUGCAGAUACACUGGAGUUGCUACCGUUAUGAAGAACUGUGUUUUAGAUUAAUUAUGUUUCCACAUCUUGCAAAGAGAUGGAGACACUAGGAGCAGCAAUAGAAGCCCAAGCAGGAAGCUAGAAUGACAACAUCAUUAUUAUGGUAAGAGGCAGCAUUAAAAACAUCACAGUUGGGUUUUCUCCUACCUGUGGGACUUGCUGGUUGCUGGUAUCACCAUAGACUGAAACAUAGAGAGAAAAAAAGGUUGUAAUUUAUUGAACUUGCUGUAAUUCAAGACAAUGUGGCAAGGAGUGAUAACAUAUCCCCAGAGCUGCUAUGAUUACCCCCAGAAUAGGCAGCAAGGAUUGCAGAGUUGUUUCUUGGGGAAAAAACAGCUACUCUGUGUGAAAAUUUAGUCCUGAAACCCAUGAAGUAAGUAAUUCUGUACCGCUAAGAAAGCAACUGAUGUCCCUGAACAAAGCAGAAACAUCAAUUUUUAUUUUUGUCUAUUCCCUGCAAUAUCCAGGAGAAUGCUGGAGACCCAAAGAUACCUUUUUUUUUUUUUUUUAAAUACAUCUUAUGUCCUUCAGUCUCCAACUUUAUUAUGGUUCAAAUGAGACAGAGCUGUAAUUGUGGCAGCAUCUUAACAGAAAUUCCUUAUUGGUCACCCAUGAGCACAGGAAUCCAAUCUGUCCAAUGCGGAUUGCACUCCCCACUUACUGCAAGUAAAUAAUUGCUUCCUCUUCUGCACUCUGAUUCCUUAACAUCCACUGAGACUCAGCCCUUUCUUGUAGUUCUUCACUUCCUUCCCUAAAUGACAUUCAAAUGUGGUGCAGUACAGCAUGCAUAUAUGUGGAAGUUGUUGUCAAAAUUGCUAUAUUCUCCAGGGGAAAACGUCCACCAUAAAAUUGCUCCACGGGUUACUUUAUUUGCAGUAUUUCUCCCUGGAAACAUAGUGCCCCAAGAUGCUAAGGCAGCAGGAAGUAAUGAAAUGUAUUUUUCAUACUCUCACUUCUCAUUUCAAUGUAUCAAGCAGCUCUUUAAACUGCUAGUCUAAACUAUUAUGUCUUAUUUUAGAAAGCCUUUAUAAUAAUUGUGAAUAAUUAGAACCCAAAGUGCUUGCUAUUUGUAAAAUGAAAAUAAAUGCUUAGGCCUCCUUGUAGAAGCCAUUUGAAAUAUUCUUUUUAAAAAAGCCAUCAAUUUCAUUUCAUACUACUGGUUGAUUUUAUUUUGCUAGGAGUGAAGAUAUUCUCAUAAUUCCAAAUGGUUAAAUGCUUGAAAAUACUACUGUAGUAAGGUGAUGUUAUACAAAAAUGUUGCAUGCCUGGAAGAAUGGAAGAAUAAAAAUGUUCAGCUCCACAUUUUAUUCUUUUUUGUUGUUGUUGUUUUCUUAAAAUUUAAUUAAUUCUUGUUAAUGGCUGAGCAGAGGAAUGCAGGCUCUUGUAUGAUAAUACUUUUCAGCCUUUAGCCCCUACUAUCCAUAUGCUUAUGGUUAUUUGUAAUGUCUUGGGAUGUGAGAAGUGCCAAAGCUCAUAGCAAGAAGUACUUAAAAAAUGAACAAACAAAAAAUGACAAAAGGCAGUAAUAUGCUGAAGUAAAAAAUGUCUUUAAAAGGAAGGUCAUCAGGAGACAAACUAUCCAUUGCUAAUUGAAUGUCAAUGUUAAAGAUAGGUUUAAAUGUGCUGUAGGCAUAGCUCACUAAAUAAGCACAGGACACUGACACAUCUCUUGGAAACAGACUUGAUUCUGAUCUACCACACUCAGGAAUACAUCAGCAGACAAUGUUAUAAAGUGUCCAGUGACAACAUCCACCGGACACUACUAAAAUCCUAGCAAUUACUUGCAAUGCAGCGUGUUCUGGAAGCAGGCUUUUCAGCACAAAGGUCCUAUAGGGCUUUUUAAACUUUUAAAUUUUCAUUUAUUAUAGGAGAGAUUUAUUAAAGGACAUAAUAGCCAAACUUUUCUAGUAAGUACAAGUUUAAAUCUUUAGAUUUGUCCAGAUGAUUCUAGUGACCUUUACUAG